AUUUUUCCCAGUCUAAAUUUAUGAAAAUUAAAAAUCGAAAUUCACAUUACAUAUCAAAUAUCGAAGACCACAAAUGUCUACCAAUAAUUGAAAAGUGUAAUAGCGAUGAAAGAUUCUUUAAAAAUGUAAACGAUAACGAUGAAAUUCCCUGCAAUACUUGUGGCGGAAAAAAUAAAAACUUAAGAGGCAAAUCACAAAAUAAAUAUGAGAGCAACUUAACGGUAUCAAAAAACCAGUACGACUCUAAUGCCCGCCAUUUUGACUCACAGCAUGAAAAUCGAUCUACCGAAAAGCCUGUUCGCCAAUCAUGUGGCUGCUUUCGAAAUCCAGAAAAUUGUAAUUGUGUAGAUUUAAAGCCAAUCCGAGAAAUAAAAUCUAAAUGGUAAGCUAUCUGUAUUCCAAGAUAAAGUAAGCAAUUGUUAGUGCGUGCUAGAUAACAACUUUCCCUUAAACUUAACACUUAUUUAAUGCUAUGAUGUUGUUUAGAGUUUAUUCGAAUGGCUGUGCUUAGCUGUUUAUUAUAAGCGAUACCCCAAACGCAAUUCCAUUAAUUUUUGUUAUUUCUGAGUAACAUAGCAGCUAUUUUUAUGAUAUAGUAAAAAAAAUUGAUUCCGAUCUAUAUUAUUGGAUCUGUUUUAUUCCGAUAUAAAAAUAAUAUUCAGAAUUUGUUAUCCAUCAAACACACCGUCUUAUUUAUAAUUGUAUUGUCUUGUAUUAUAUGGUUUAUUUUCUUUAUAGUAAAAAAAGCUGCAGUUUCUCAGUUUACGAUAUGAGUACCCCUAUACCUUUCGUUGCAACUAAAAUCGAAAUUUUCAGAAAGCGUCAUAAUAGGUGGUGGAGGAUUGUGCCAAUAAUUUUGUAAGUAAACCAAUAUAGAUACACUUAUAGUCCUAAUCCAAAAAGGAAAAGUAUUCAAAAAGUACCCGGUACUCACAGGGAAUUCUUUUUUUUGUUGCAAACUAUCAAGGGUUAAUUUUUUGGUCGGCUCGAUCUCGGUGGACUUUUAAAUGAAUAUGACAAAACACAGUUAAAUUGGCCAAAACAAUUUCCAGUUUCUUACUCACUUG
This 1067-nucleotide long non-coding RNA is filed under the name Drosophila guanche. Lineage: Eukaryota; Metazoa; Arthropoda; Insecta; Diptera; Drosophilidae. The record is from RNAcentral.